This is an RNA transcript of Ziziphus jujuba (common jujube), 6296 nucleotides long. RefSeq lists it as uncharacterized. The record is from RefSeq and is a predicted model, not a curated record. The transcript is spliced from 13 exons. NCBI's taxonomy places the organism in Eukaryota, Viridiplantae, Streptophyta, Magnoliopsida, Rosales, Rhamnaceae.
CAGAGUGAGGGAAACACACUGCGUUUGGGGCAGGCAACGAAGACAGUUUUGGUACUGUUGUGGGUAAGCGACCUGUCUAAGAAACAAUAGGAACAAAGGUACAUGUAGUUACCUAGCUUCCAUUCAAUUUGUUGCUAAUUUAUAAUUAAUUUUGCUUGUGGAUUAAGAUUUUCUGCAGGUUAUAGAUAUGGCUGCUUCAUCAUCUUCUUCUCAAGAAAAGUAUGAGGCGUUUCUAAGUUUCAGGGGCGAGGACACCCGCGAUGGUUUUACUGGACAUCUUUAUAAUGCUCUGUGUCAAAAGCAUAUCAACACAUUCAAGGAUGAUGAAAACCUUAAAAGCGGGCAUAAGAUAUCAGAAAUUAUGGAUGCGAUUAAAGAAUCUAAGAUUUGCAUAGUAGUUUUCUCCAAAGAUUUUGCAUCUUCCACAUGGUGUUUGGAUGAAGUGGUUUGCAUACUCGAAUGCAAGAGUGAUGGAAAUGAUAUUAUGCCCAUUUUUUAUGGCAUAGAUCCAUCCAUUGUACGGAAACAGGAGCAGAGUUAUGCAGUAUCAUUUGGUAAACAUGAACAACGUUUUAAGGACAAAAUGGACAUGGUGCAGCAUUGGAGGGAUGCUCUCAAUGAAGUGGCUGCUCUCAGUGGUUAUGAUUCAAAGAAUAAAAGGCCUGAAUACAAGUUUAUAGAUGAAAUUGUUGAAGAUAUUUUGUCGAAGUUGUUUAGAUACCAAUCACCCUGUGAUCAUUCCAAGUGGGGAUUAAUUGGAAUUGAAAAUCAUAUAGAGGAAAUUGAAGGAUUAUUAUGCAUUGACUCAAUGGAUGUUCGCACCAUAGGUCUUUAUGGCAUGGGCGGUAUUGGAAAGACCACCCUUGCUCUUGCUGUAUUUCAAAAGUUAUCUCAUCAUUUCGAAAGUUGUUGCUUUCUUCGCAAUGUUAGAGAAGAAUAUGAAAAGCAUGGCGUAAUGGAAUUGAGAAAGGAACUUCUUUCCCAGCUGUUCUAUCAUGAUAAAACUAUUCCGAGCUUGGAAUCAACUCAUCUUCAAGAAAGACUCUGCCGCACAAAGGUUCUUAUAGUUUUAGAUGAUUUGGAUGAUGCAAUAUCCCAAUUAAAUGAAUUGUUACCUAAAGAGUACAAUUUUGGUGCUAGAAGCAGAAUUAUUGUCACAACUAGGGAUGCACAACUGCUUAAAUCAAGGACAGAUAAAGUUUACGAGGUUAAGAGGUUAAAUGAUGUUGAAGCUCUUAAGCUCUUCCGCUUACAUGCUUUUGAAAAUAAUUGUGAUCUUGAAGGAUACAAAGCUUUAUAAAAAAUUGUGGCCGAUUAUGCAUAUGGCAAUCCAUUAGGUCUUGAAGUCUUGGGUUCUUCACUUCACUUCAAAAUGUAGAAGAAUGGAAAAGUGCAUUGGAUGAGCUGCAGAUAGAGCCAAACCCAAAAAUUGAAAAAGUGUUGAGAAUAAGUUUUGAUCAAUUAGGCAAAAAAGACAAAAAAUGCUACACUCCCAUCCAGGAUGUGUUUCUUGACAUUGCAUGCUUUCAUGACAAUGGAUUUGAUAGAAAAUUUGUAGAAAGCAUAAUACAUCAUAGUGGUGCAACCAAAAAAAUAAGUGAUCUCAUUGAUCAGUGCUUAAUAAUUGAAGAUUACAACAGAUUGUCCAUGCAUUCUUUAAUACGAGAGAUGGGCUAGGCAAUUGUUUGUGAUGAGAACAAAAAACCUGGAAAUCGUAGUAGGCUGUGGAAGGCUAAGGAUGUUUGUUAUGUAUUGGAAAAAGAUACAGGAAGCUCUGAAAUUGAAGGCAUGUCAUUGAAUCAGUCCAAACUUGAAAAAGAUCUAAAUGUGAAAUCUUCAGCGGUGUUCUAAAAAAUGAUCAAUCUAUGAGUACUAAGAAUUUACUCCAAUCAUGUAUCUUUCUAUGGGGAGAAAGAAAUGUGCAAAAAAAUAUAUCUUCCUUCGGACGGUAUUGAGUAUCUUUCUGAUGAGUUAAGGUAUCUGCGGUGGGAUUUAUAACCUUUAAAAUUUUUGCCAUCAAAUUUUAGUCCACAGAAUCUUGCUGAACUUGUUAUGCCUUAAAGCCAACUUGUGGAGCUAUAUUGGAAUGAAGACCAGCCCAUUGGGAAGUUAAAGGAAAUCAAUCUUAGUUAGAGUGAAAGUCUUAUUCAGAUACCAAAUUUGAGUGGGGCUAUAAAUCUUCAACGUAUAGAUCUUCAAGGUUGUACAAGUUUAAUUCAAGUUCCUUCAUGUUUUAAGAAUCUGGACAAGCUUCAGCUUCUAGAUUUGGGUGAGUGUGAGAAUCUGAAAGAUGGCAUAGAAAAUCUUCCGUUGCAUAUGAGGAAUUUAACAUUGUGUGGGACAGCAAUUGAAGUAUUGCCCUCAUCAUUUGGGUGUCUUUUGGAUCUUAGAAAUUUGAAUUUGAGAGGCUGUAAGAAUCUGAAAGAUGACGUAAAAAAUCUUCCAUUGAAGAUAAGGAAUUUAACAUUGGAUGGAACAGCAAUAUAAGUAUUGCCCUCAUCAUUUGCGUGUCUUUUGGAUCUUAAAUUUUUAAAUAUGAGUGGCUGUAAGAAUCUGAAAGAUGGCAUCGAAAAUCUUCCAUUAAAUAUAAAGGAUUUACAACUAUCUUGGACAGCAAUAGAAGUAUUGCCCUCAUCAUUUGGGUGUCUUUUGGAUCUUGGACUUUUAGAUUUGAGUAGUUGUAAGAAUCUGAAAGAUGGCAUAGAAAAUCUUCCAUUAAAUAUAACUUUAGACUGUCACGGACAACAAUAGAAUUAUUCCCCUCAUCAUUUGGGCGUCUUUUGAAUAUUGAAUAUUUACAUUUGAUUGAUUGCAGAACUCUGGAAGAUGUACAAAAUAUUUCGAUGGGUAGAAUAGUUGAAUUAAAUUUGUCUGGGACUGCAAUUAAAACUCUACCGGAAAGCAUUUGGAAGAUGAGUCAUCUGACAAGGCUGUUGCUUCAUGAUUGCCCAAACCUAGAAAAGCUUCCAGAAAUCUCGGAUAGUUUAACUUCACAUCUAGGAACUCCAGAUAUAAGUGGUUGCACGAGAUUGAAAUCAAUACCAGAGCUUCCAGCAAGUUUAACGUAUUUUUGUGCAAGAGACUGCGCUUCUCUUGAGACAAUAUCAAGUUGGAGGGAUCCCAAAUAUAAUGAAUUGGAUGGAUCAAUAACUGCAUUUUAUCGUUUUAAAAAUUGUCUAAAACUGGAUGAGCACACACGGAACAACAUAAUUGCUGAUCGUUUAUGCCUUAAAAUUCCUUAUAUUCAGGAUAUAGCAUGUCUUGACACGAUGUAUCCAGGAGAUGAAAUCCCAGAGUGGUUCAGCCAUCAAACCGAUUAUGAGAACUCACUCCAUAUCCACCUUCCUCCUCAUUGGUUUCAUGAUAUUAAUCAUCCCCGCUUCAAAUUUGUUUAUUGCAUUGUUUUGUUAAAUAGAACUGGGCAGAAUGCUUUCCUCGGAUUUGAAUUCAAAUUCAAAACCAACAUGAACCGUGAUGACUGUCCUUAUGUUUAUCAGACGCCAUUAGCAAGCGUAACGCUGGGUACCACUUGUCCAGAUCACGUCUUCAUGUGUUACUGGGAGAUUGAUUUGAUACGCGUAUUUGGGGCAGAGUGGUCCUCUGUUUACAGCAAUGUCAUCGAGGCUUCUUGCCGUGCGGUUAUAGAGGGAGAAGGGGUCAUCAAUUGGGAGAUCAAAAAGUUUGGGUUGGAGUUGGGAAAUACGUGGGAUACUGCAGAUAAAAGUAAAAGAAGAUUUGGUGAAUUUAGUGGUCAACCCAAUGCAUACCAAGACAUAGUUGGGUCACGUGAUCCUCAAAUCAAUUCCAAGAGAAUCAAGGCCUCAUCAAAUGAUUAGAGUGAGAGAAACACAUAGCGUUUUGGGCAACCGAUCAGGACGAUGUUUUUGGUGUUGUGAACAAUAGGAGAGAGCGAGUCGGCAUCCGAAAGACCUAGCGUCAGCAACGUCGUUGGGCAGGGCAGAGGUUAUAAACAUGAAUGCUUCUUCUUCUUCGUCUUCUCGAGAAAAGGAUGAGGUGUUUCUGAGUUUCAGAGAGCAAGCUAAGGUAGAGGACCCAGAGGUGGAGAGACUAGAGAUGGGAAGCGCUCCAGAACUAUUUCCAGAGCCAUAUCGAGCAGCCUUAGAAGAAGAUUGGGAAAGAAUGAAGAGAUUCUAUGAAAAAAACAGAGAAGCAUUGUUUUAUCCUCUUACAGUCACUAACGACAACCCAUUUCACAUAGCUGUUUAUAGUAGAACUAAAAGCCCGCUUGAAGAAUUGAUUCAGAUGGUGCCAAACCCUCCAAUUGCGAAAGCCGAUGAUAAGAAAUGCACACCCCUUCACGAGGCGGGUGCUAUUGGAAAUAUUGAAGCAGCUCAAGUGUUGGUGCGUUGCUCUCCGGAGCAGCUUGAGGCUAGAAAUGCUGUAGGAGAAACUCCAAUGUAUAGAGCUGCUGCAUUUGGUAUGACAGAAGUGGUCAAGUAUUUGGCUUCCGAAGUCCGAAGCCGCAACUUGGAUAUGCAUUUUCAGCGCAUCAGAUAUGAUAAUACCUCCAUUCUUCAAAGUGCCAUCCAUGGCCAACACUUCGAAACAGCAUUGUGGUUGCUUAGAAAUGAUGAAAUUCUGGGAGAUCUCAUGGAUAAUAAAGGCAGGACAUGUCUUCAGCUACUGGCUAACAUGCCAUCAGCUUUCAAGAGUGGAUACCUCAUGGGCAAAUUUGCAUCAUUUAUCUAUUUCUGUCUUCCAAGUAAUGAACACGAUGAGAAAGGUGAUCAAAUGAAUUUGAGGCAACGCAACAUUUUGGAGAGUGGAUGGGGUAGAAAUAAUCUCCAUCAAUCUUGCUUUUUAAGCUUCAAUACAGCAAUCACAAGGUUGUACUCUUGCUUAUGGACGUUCCUACGUGCUGGAUGGCAAACGAUAGAACAAAUCCAAAACGAAAAGACGAAGCACGAAUCAUCUUUGGAACUUGCAAAGCUACUCAUAAAGAAAGACAAAUCAUGGGAGAAAACUGAUAUAAAACCAGAUAUAGGAAUCAUUUCAUUUGGGGAAACAGAAAGAAGUGGAUCGAAGAAAGUAGUUGCAUUAGGAAAGAAAGAAGAUAAAGAGGAAAAAGAUGAGAAUAAUUUUCCACCAUCAAUUCCUAAAAGUACAACACCAUUGCUUAUAGCAACUAGCAUAGGUAUCGAAGAGAUCGUUAAUGGGAUACUUGAAGAGUAUCCUCAGGCCGUAGAGCAUGUUAGUGAUCAGGGACUCAGCAUCAUGCAUGUUGCCAUUAGGUACCGCCAAAGGGAUAUUUUUGAACGUGUAAAGAAGAUGAAGAUUCCGAUGGUGAGGCUGGUUCGGAGAAUUGAUGACAGUGGCUAUACCUUAUUGCACCAUGUUUCUGAUAUGACCCAUUGCUCUACUGGAAGUUUGCCUAACCCUGCUCUUCAAUUGCAAGAUGAAUUGAAAUGGUUUAAGCGCGUACGGAAAUUAAUUCCAUCCCAUUACGUCAUGAACCACAGCAAAGGUGGUCAAACUGCCUAAGAGUUAUUCGAAAAGUCUCAUGCAAAUCUUCUCCAAGAGGCACAAAACUGGCUAAAGCGGACAUCAGAAUCCUGCUCAGUAAUCGCAGUGCUGAUCGCCACCGUAGCCUUCACGGCGGUAUAUACCGUUCCAGGAGGUUCCAAUCAGUCCACGGGCCUUCCGAUAUUACUUCAUGACCCCUUCUUUGUGGUUUUCACGGUCAUGGACGUUCUGUCCCUCAUCAGUUCUCUCACAUCGGUAGUAAUGUUCAUCUCCAUCCUCACCUCUCCCUUCAGGCUUGAAGAUUUCCGUCAGUCUCUCCCCCAAAAGCUUACUUUGGCCUUCACCUUCCUGUUCCUUGCUGUGGCGGUGACCAUGAUGGCUUUCUCGGCCACUGUAAUUCUGAUCGUUCAUAUGAAGAAGCGUUGGACCACCAUUAUUGUCUAUGGCGUCUCUUUUGUUCCAGUGACGGUGUUUGCACUCUUGCAAUUCCCUCUGUACGUAGCAUUUAUGGGCACCGUGAAUCACUAUCUAAGCAUCAUGAAUAAGGCUCUUCCUUGGAAUUUUCUUAAGCCGUUGUUUUGCAAGAAUCAGUACUGAAUGUUUUUUUUUCUUUUUCUUUUUUUGGGUAAACAUGAAUCAGUAGUGAAGUCUGUUUAAUAAUAUGUAUAUGGAUAUAGCUACAGCACUGAGGCUGGACUGCCUUUAUUAACAAAUUGGCUGGUUUGUAUUUAGGUCAAAUUUUAAUUAUGCAAGUAGUAUUAUAACGUGUUAAUUACAUAAUUUCUGUUAAUUUCUUUUCUUUUUAUUUGAUU